AUACGUAUGUCGCAAGCGUUAUCCGGAAUUAUUGGGCGUAAAGCGAGUCUAGGCGGCUUGUUAAGUCAGAUGUGGAAAUGCGGGGCUCAACUCCGUAUUGCGUUUGAAACUGGCAGGCUAGAGUACUGGAGAGGUGGGCGGAACUACAAGUGUAGAGGUGAAAUUCGUAGAUAUUUGUAGGAAUGCCGAUAGUGAAGACAGCUCACUGGACAGAUACUGACGCUAAAGCUCGAAAGCGUGGGGAGCGAACAGGAUUAGAUACCCCAGUAGUCC
Molecule: ribosomal RNA, 273 nt
Filed under: uncultured bacterium
Lineage: Bacteria
Description: partial 16S ribosomal RNA
Rfam family: Bacterial small subunit ribosomal RNA
Source: RNAcentral